UACGUAGGGUGCAAGCGUUAAUCGGAAUUACUGGGCGUAAAGCGUGCGCAGGCGGUCUUGUAAGACAGAGGUGAAAUCCCCGGGCUUAACCUGGGAACUGCCUUUGUGACUGCAAGGCUUGAGUGCGGCAGAGGGGGAUGGAAUUCCGCGUGUAGCAGUGAAAUGCGUAGAUAUGCGGAGGAACACCGAUGGCGAAGGCAAUCCCCUGGGCCUGCACUGACGCACAUGCACGAAAGCGUGGGGAGUAAACAGG
RNAcentral lists this ribosomal RNA (253 nucleotides) under uncultured bacterium. Its description in RNAcentral is "partial 16S ribosomal RNA". It matches the Rfam family "Bacterial small subunit ribosomal RNA", at positions 524 to 776 of the family's 1533-position model. The record is from RNAcentral.